Long non-coding RNA from Asparagus officinalis (garden asparagus), 3477 nucleotides. RefSeq lists it as uncharacterized. NCBI's taxonomy places the organism in Eukaryota, Viridiplantae, Streptophyta, Magnoliopsida, Asparagales, Asparagaceae. The transcript has 3 exons. The record is from RefSeq and is a predicted model, not a curated record.
AUUCUCUGCUUUCCACACAUCCAAAAAUUUGGGUUUUACAUUAGAUUUUGAAAGUCACCAGAUUUGAUCGUCGAUGUGGUAGAACUGAUUGCGAGAUGCUAGUUUCGGAGAGGACCUGAUCUUUUAGGAUAGAUUUGAACUUGUUAUUGUCUCUCUUGUGGCCUAAUUUCGAGAUUUCAGUUUUUGUUUUCCCGAUAUCUAUAUAAUUAUGGGACGGUUCGCGGCUGUUAUUUCGCGCUUUCCUGAUUCGAUGAGAGAAUGAUCGGAUUCUGUUGUAGCGACGGCAAUCUGUUGUGUUUCGUGAUAAUUUUUUAUGGUCGUGAUACUAGAUGAUAAUUGUUGUGGUGAUUGAAUGAGAAGGAUGAAGAGGAUCGACGUAUCGAUGCGGGGUUAGAAUAAAAAGUCUCACAUUUUCUGAUUCUCCCAAGUAGUUGUUUUUUUUUUCUUCCAGUUAGGACACGAGGUUCAUGUUCUUGUGUUUGAUUUAUGAUUUGGCUAGUUAUGGGCAGGUAGAUCUUGAUUCGGUGAGAGAGUGAGGAGUCACAAUAUAUUUUCAUAACACCAUGAUUCAUCUUGUCUUCAUUAUUGUAAAGGAGGGAGCGACAUGAAGUAGGAUUGAAUAGAGAAAUCAUUGUGAAUUGAUUUUCUUCAGUUAAACGAAGAGUGUAAUCUUGGUGGAGUCAUUACGUUUGACUGUUUCAGAGUCAUCUUUGCUGUCGUGGUUAGGAUUUGAAUUCUUUUCGGAAAAAGGCUGACGUAUGAUAGUGUGGAUUGGAGUUUAUAUCUAGCUACGGAUUUUUGUGAUGCGCACAAUUUGUUUCUACCUAUGAAUAUGCACUGUGUUUAUUUAUUUAUUUCCUUUUGAUAGAUCCUACUAUAUAUAUGAGAUUUCACAUACGCACACAUUUGUAACUGUUAAAAAUGUGACGCAAAAUUAGUCAGAGGUUGAAUUUCAAAGUCACAUUUGGUUGAGAGAAGCCAUUUGUAACUGUUAAAAAUGUGAAAGAAGACAUUUGGUUGAGAGGUUUGGUUGAAGAUCUCGGCUUACACCAAAGUGUCACUUCGGUAUUUUGUGACAGCCAGAGUGCUAUACAUUUGACGAAGCAUCAGAUGUAUCAUGAAAGAACCAAAGAUAUAGAUGUCAGGUAUCAUUUUAUCAAAGAAAUUAAAAUCAUCAAGAUUGAGAAGAUUAGUACUGCAGAUAAUCCAGCAGAUGUGAUGACGAAGCUCGUACCUUUGCGCAAGUUCGAGCACUGUUUCGAAUUGCUUAAAGUUCAACAAAGCGGAGGUUAAGCUCGGGCUAGACAUCAAGAGUAAAGAGAAGAUCUUCGUUUUCAAAGUCAGGGUGGAGAUUUGUUAAACAUGUGACUUUGAAAUUCAACCUCGGCCUAAUUCUGUGUCACAUUUUUCAAAAUUUGCAACCCCACCUAACAUUCCACCAAACAUUUUUUUUAUUAUAUUAUUAUUUUUGUAAGCUAUAUAAGGAGGGGUGUGGAAGGGUUUAAGAUCAUCAGUCGGAGAGAAAAAGAAAAGAAUUAGUUAGAGAGAAGAGAGUGAGAUAGAAAGAGAAAUCUUUCUUUGUGUGAUUCUCUUCUCUGGUUAGAGAGUGAUCUCCUCUUUUGUAAUCUUCUCUUUUGUGAUUAGUGCCCGUAGACGUAGGUCAUACUGCCUGGACCACAUUAAAUACUUGUGUGUUGUUCUCUUUGUCCACUAUUGUAUAGACAUCUUCUGUGUCUGUGAAGCCCCUCCGCUGCAACAGUAACCUUCUAGUUUGUUUCUUAUUUUAUUAUUAUCUUUUUAUUGAAAUGUUGGCAUGCUUAGACUUCAUGGUUUCUAAAAAGAGAAGAUUGUUUGCAAUUCUGCAGAAAUUUUAGAUCUCUUCAAUUUAAAAAUAGAGUUCUUUCUGAUGUGCAUUUGAUCUUGCUUUGCUUUGAUAGAAAGAUCCAACUUCUGCUGAAUCAGUACUUGCUUUCGUCCUUCUUCAUUCUGGUAACUAGGAUAUUUGGCAACUAGCUUUUGUUUGUAAACGAUAUUAGCUGCACAAAUCUUACUUACAUGGCUAUCCAGCCUUAAUGCCGAUGUCCAUAUUUGUUUUGGCUGCAAUAAUAGGAACUGAGGCUGUGAAGCUGCUCACGAAUGAAAGGCAGAACAAUGCUCAGAGGCACUAUCAUCUGUGUAUUGGUUGCAGUAUUAAUGGUUUUGUACAGGGACCAGCAACUAUUGGAAACUGUGAUUAUGAUCUACCAUCUAACAGUGAAAUAAGUGCUAUAUGUCAGCCUGAGCUAGCUAGAUAAGUGGCAUAUUGGCGUGCUAUGCUCAAACAAAACUCUUCAUGUAUGAAAACGGUAACUGCUUAGUUCUAGCCAAGUGCUCUUGCAAUAGCUGGGCAAGCCACUCCAUCAGCUUGAGGGUCAUGAAGGUGAAGUCCAUGAUGGAGACUGAGCUGUAGAAGAUGGAGAAUAUCCAUCUCACUAAACACAACCCUCCGCCUCUUGUGCAUGAAGUGCCCACGGCUGCUCUUAGUCAGAAGGCGGGAUCAAAGAUCUGGUCGGAAGUCAAUGUGGCUUUAGACUUUUUCAGAAGUAAUAAUGAAGGAGUGCUCGUCAUACGGGAGUGGGUGAGGUUGGGGAGACCACUGUUUUCAGCACCUAGCAAUGCAUUGACCAACCACCUAUCGCUUGGAUUUCAUUGGGUCGUUUUUAUAACUGGUAGAGCCCUGCCAUCCAUGGCUUAGGUUACGAAUGAGACCUAAUGAUAACCUAGUGGCAGGUUGUUCAAUACAUUGUUGAGGUGCUGAAGUACAGUGGUCUUUCCCACACCACCCAUUCCCCAGAUACCGAGCAUUCCUUAAUUACUGCUUCUGAGAAAGCCGAGAGCCAUGUCGACUUCCGACCGAGAGUGGUCGUGAGCACUUUCUGCAUAGAAAGUGGAGGGUUGGUAUUUUAUGAGUUAGAUAUUGUUAAAUCUUUUGCCGCUCGUUCUCCACCUUUAGCCUUCACCUCUCUGUCCCUCAAGCUGAGCAGCGAUUGAAGGAGCAAGUGUUAAGAACCGUUCGGUUUCUGUAUUUGUACUUGAUGAUAGCUGCAGCUUCUUUCUCGAGGUAUUCUACAGUUGCAAGCCAUACUUGAUACUUCUGCUACUUUUGUGGCCACCUUUGCCCUUUGGUUCAUCGAGUUGGACCUUAUCAGAAGCGUACACAGUAGAAGCUAUGAUCUAGCAUUCCAGCAAUUUUGCCAAGCAAAUUGUAAGAGAGUUGAACACUAGCAGAUCGAUCUUUGAUCCUUGUUCAUGACAGCAUGCCUGUGGCUUUGUGAGGGAGUUCUGCUUUUUUUCCCCCCCAAGGGUUUCCCAUAUGUACCCAAAAUUAUAAUAGCUUUGUAUUUUGUUCAUAUUUAACUCUCAUAGAUAGAUGUAUCUGAUACUAAGAAGUUGAAAUUCAAAUAUAUGAAUGAUGGAUCCACAGCUCAAGUUGAUUUA